GUGCCAGCAGCCGCGGUAAUACGUAGGUGGCAAGCGUUGUCCGGAAUUAUUGGGCGUAAAGCGCGCGCAGGCGGUUCUUUAAGUCUGAUGUGAAAUCCCACGGCUCAACCGUGGAGGGUCAUUGGAAACUGGAGGACUUGAGUAUAAGAGAGGAAAGUGGAAUUCCACGUGUAGCGGUGAAAUGCGUAGAGAUGUGGAGGAACACCAGUGGCGAAGGCGGCUUUCUGGACGACAACUGACGCUGAGGCGCGAAAGCGUGGGGAGCAAACAGGAUUAGAUACCCUGGUAGUCCACGCCGUAAACGAUGAGUGCUAAGUGUCGGGGGAGCGAUCCCUCGGUGCUGAACUUAACAGAUUAAGCACUCCGCCUGGGGAGUACGGUCGCAAGGCUGAA
RNAcentral lists this ribosomal RNA (393 nucleotides) under uncultured bacterium. Its description in RNAcentral is "bacterial SSU rRNA". It matches the Rfam family "Bacterial small subunit ribosomal RNA", at positions 505 to 898 of the family's 1533-position model. The record is from RNAcentral.